UGCAAAUUUCAUCUCUGCUUCCUGUCUCAUCCUGCCAGGUAGAAAAGUGAGCUCUUGGUGUCCUCUCAGAACACACAGAUCAUCUAAAACCAAUAAGACAUCAUGUUUCUGUUCUCUUGUCUUUUGUGUCUGUCUUCAUUUCUUGGAGUCAUGUCACAAACACUUACUCAGUCCUCAUCAGAAAUAAAAAAGCCUGGAGAGAGUGUGAAGAUGUCCUGUGUAGGAUCUGGAUAUACAUUCAGCAACUACUAUAUAAGCUGGGUUCAACAAGUCCCAGGGAGAGGACUGACAUGGAUUGGGAGGAUUGAUCCUGCUGAUGGAGAUACAGAUUAUUCAUCUUCACACCAGGGAAGAUUCACAAUAACAUCUGAUAAGUCCAUAAACACAGCAUAUCUACAAAUAGACAAUCUGAAAGUGGAAGACACGGCCACAUAUUACUGUGCUAGAUACACAGUGAUCCAAGGAUGGCUCCUGUCAUACAAAAACAUCCAUCUGUAA
Molecule: non-coding RNA, 498 nt
Organism: Nanorana parkeri
Lineage: Eukaryota; Metazoa; Chordata; Amphibia; Anura; Dicroglossidae
Source: the annotation of a RefSeq genome assembly